RNAcentral lists this ribosomal RNA (425 nucleotides) under uncultured bacterium. Its description in RNAcentral is "partial 16S ribosomal RNA". It matches the Rfam family "Bacterial small subunit ribosomal RNA", at positions 354 to 796 of the family's 1533-position model. The record is from RNAcentral.
GUUAGGAAUAUUGGACAAUGGACGCAAGUCUGAUCCAGCCAUGCCGCGUGAGUGAUGAAGGCCUUCGGGUUGUAAAGCUCUUUAGCCGAUGAUUAUAAUGACUGUAGUCGGAAAAUAAGCCCCGGCUAACUUCGUGCCAGCAGCCGCAGUAAUACGAAGGGGGCGAGCGUUAUUCGGAAUCACUGGGCGUAAAGCGUGCGUAGGCGGUUUUGUAAGUUGGGAGUGAAAGCCCAGGGCUCAACCCUGGAAUUGCUCUCAAAACUACAAGACUUGAAUUCGGGAGAGGAUAGCGGAAUUGUCAGUGUAGCAGUGAAAUGCGUAGAUAUUGACAGGAACACCAGUGGCGUAAGCGGCUAUCUGGACCGACAUUGACGCUGAGGCACGAAAGCGUGGGGAUCAAACAGGAUUAGAAACCCUUGUAGUCC